This 475-nucleotide long non-coding RNA is filed under the name Theobroma cacao (cacao). RNAcentral's name for it is "long non-coding RNA (TCAC_LNC000118)". The record is from RNAcentral. Lineage: Eukaryota; Viridiplantae; Streptophyta; Magnoliopsida; Malvales; Malvaceae.
AUUGCCAUCUACACGAAUGCUCUGGACUCCAUAAGCUUGCCCUCUAACAGCAAUCCCAUCACCUGCACCAUGUGCAAAACAAAAUACAUGAUAGGAUACAUAUAUACAUUAUUGAUGGAUUCAUGGAUUGUUAAAAUAAAAUAAUGCGCAAUAAAUAAAAAAGGGAGGAAGAAUACUUCGAAACUGGUCUGAAGUGGGUGUACUAAUUGCCCAUCCAUUAUUCCGACAGAUAAAGAUUACUGGAGCCUCUGUAACUGCCGCGAAAUUUAAAGCAGCAUGAAAAUCUCCCUAUCAUUAUUUUGUUUUGUUAGAAACAAAGCACCAAAAUCUAAAAUUCAAUGAGAUUGAGCUGCUACGAAAUGAACUCAUUUAUGCAUCCUGCUCCCCAACAACACAUACACAAAGGAGGAGAAAGGUUCUUUGACCUCUGAUAAGUUAUGUAAAACCAGUCCCACCUGGGCUUAGCUGAAGUUCU